RNAcentral lists this ribosomal RNA (427 nucleotides) under uncultured bacterium. Its description in RNAcentral is "bacterial SSU rRNA". It matches the Rfam family "Bacterial small subunit ribosomal RNA", at positions 355 to 774 of the family's 1533-position model. The record is from RNAcentral.
UGGGGAAUUUUGGACAAUGGGCGCAAGCCUGAUCCAGCAAUGCCGCGUGCAGGAUGAAGGCCUUCGGGUUGUAAACUGCUUUUGUACGGAACGAAAAGCUUCUGGUUAAUACCUGGGAGUCAUGACGGUACCGUAAGAAUAAGCACCGGCUAACUACGUGCCAGCAGCCGCGGUAAUACGUAGGGUGCGAGCGUUAAUCGGAAUUACUGGGCGUAAAGCGUGCGCAGGCGGUUAUGUAAGACAGAGGUGAAAUCCCCGGGCUCAACCUGGGAACUGCCUUUGUGACUGCAUGGCUAGAGUGCGGCAGAGGGGGAUGGAAUUCCGCGUGUAGCAGUGAAAUGCGUAGAUAUGCGGAGGAACACCGAUGGAGAAGGCAAGCCAAUGGGCCUGCACUGACGCUCAUGCACGAAAGCGUGGGGAGUAAACA